UUCAUUCAAAACCCGAGAAUUUCCUCUGUUUAAGCGUACAUACUUUUCUCUCUCAUACUUUCUCUCCUCCUGCUCAGCCGUCGCCGAUCAACGCCAUCGCCACCAUCAGUCUGGUCGGCCCUCCUUGCUCCUGACCGUCACCACCAACAAUCUCACGCAAUUUUCUCUAUCAUAUCCUCCAAUCUUUUGCCUCAAUUUUCUCUCUCCUAUGAUCUGCGUUUCAAUUAUUUCGUAAUUAUUCUGGGGUCUUUGUUUUUCUGGAAGAUUGGGUUGUUGGUUGGAGAUAUUGGUUUUGGUUCAUUCCUUGAUUUUCCAUUUAUCUUAAUUUGAAGUAGAAUUGUUGGAGAAAAUGGAAGAGCAAAGAAGAUGGAAGAUUGAUGAUGAUGGCGUGAGAAACAAUGAGGAAGCUGGCUUUCCUCAUUAGGAAGAUAAAAGAGAAUGCAGCUUUCCAAUGUAAGUUGGGCUUCUUGAACUCCCUCAUCAACGGGCAUGCGAUUGAUGUUCAUAAAUUCCUGUUUUCGAGUUUGCAAGUGAAGAGUGAAUGUUCUAAUGGAAUCAAAAGGUGGUAAAGACGGUUCCAGUAGUAGUAGUAAAUCAUUGCAAUACGUCAGCACCACUUGCUUACACCAUUGAAUACGUUCGACCAAAGAGAGGAGUCAAGAAAUUCAGAUCUACUUCUUACUCAAACAUAAGCUAAAAGUAAAAUGAGUUGCGUUCUAAGAAGUGAAGUCACAUCCAGUUAUGGAGACCAUCUAGCAUUCAAUACUACGGUCCAAGAAGUGAAGCCACAAAUUUUGUGGCAUACUAUUUGUAAGAUAUGAUAACUCUGUAUCUUUGCAUUCAUAGAUUAGGAGUAUAAAUAUACAAUGUACAAUUAAGGCAAUAUUCUGCCAUGAUAAUCAGCAAUCAUGUUGCUAAUUUACAGCAAUAGUAUCGCUAAUUAUGCGCCAAUUAUGGCUGAUUAUUUUUGAUUGAUAUCCUAUACAUAGAUAUCAUAUAUACAUAA
This is a long non-coding RNA of Spinacia oleracea (spinach), 1006 nucleotides long. RefSeq lists it as uncharacterized. The record is from RefSeq and is a predicted model, not a curated record. The transcript has 4 exons. Lineage: Eukaryota; Viridiplantae; Streptophyta; Magnoliopsida; Caryophyllales; Amaranthaceae.